UACGUAGGGUGCGAGCGUUAAUCGGAAUUACUGGGCGUAAAGCGUGCGCAGGCGGUUUUGUAAGCCGGAUGUGAAAUCCCCGGGCUUAACCUGGGAAUGGCAUUCGGGACUGCAAGGCUGGAGUGCGGCAGAGGAGACUGGAAUUCCUGGUGUAGCAGUGAAAUGCGUAGAUAUCAGGAGGAACACCGAUGGCGAAGGCAGGUCUCUGGGCUGACACUGACGCUCAUGCACGAAAGCCAGGGGAGCGAACGGG
This 253-nucleotide ribosomal RNA is filed under the name uncultured bacterium. RNAcentral's name for it is "partial 16S ribosomal RNA". It matches the Rfam family "Bacterial small subunit ribosomal RNA", at positions 524 to 776 of the family's 1533-position model. The record is from RNAcentral.